GACGAACGCUGGCGGCGUGCUUAACACAUGCAAGUCGAACGGAAAGGCCCUGCUUUUGUGGGGUUCUCGAGUGGCAAACGGGUGAGUAACACGUGAGUAACCUGCCCCUGACUUUGGGAUAACUUCAGGAAACGGGGGCUAAUACCGGAUAGGCGCUCCUGCUGCAUGGGGGGGGUUGGAAAGUUUGGGCGGGUGGGGAUGGACUGGCGGCUUAUCAGCUGGUUGGGGGGUUAGUGGCUUACCAAGGGUUUGACGGGUGGCCGGCCUGGGAGGGUGACCGGCACCAUGGGGACGGAGAUCCGGCCAAGAUCCCACCGGGGGGCAGAGGGGGGGAAUAUUGCCAAAGGGGGGGAAGCCUGAUGAAGCAACGCGGCGUGCGGGAUGCGGGCCUUCGGGUUGUAAACCGUUUUGGCCUGUGACGAGGCGUGAGUGACGGUAAUUGGUAAAGAAGCACCGGCUAACUACGUG
RNAcentral lists this ribosomal RNA (468 nucleotides) under uncultured bacterium. RNAcentral describes it as "partial 16S ribosomal RNA". It matches the Rfam family "Bacterial small subunit ribosomal RNA", at positions 28 to 507 of the family's 1533-position model. The record is from RNAcentral.